GGGUUAGUAGGUUGGUCAUGCCUCUGGUAUGUACUGGUCUCACUGAUUCCUCCUUCCUGAUGAACCUUAAUGCCAUUAAUUUGGUGUUUUGGGGAAUUUGGACUGUUACUUUGAAAAAAUUAGAGUGUUUAAAGCAAGCUAACGCUUGAAUACAUUAGCAUGGAAUAAUGGAAUAGGACUUUGGUUUCUAGGGACGCCGUA
RNAcentral lists this ribosomal RNA (201 nucleotides) under Campeiostachys nutans. RNAcentral describes it as "Elymus nutans partial small subunit ribosomal RNA". The stretch from base 40 to 201 matches the Rfam family "Eukaryotic small subunit ribosomal RNA", at positions 686 to 864 of the family's 1831-position model. Lineage: Eukaryota; Viridiplantae; Streptophyta; Magnoliopsida; Poales; Poaceae. The record is from RNAcentral.